AUGGAGCAGAUGGUGUGCUCGUUUGGAUGUGGCAGUUUGCGAGGGAUGGGCAUCCCAUGAUCCUCCAG
MicroRNA precursor from Monodelphis domestica (gray short-tailed opossum), 68 nucleotides. Lineage: Eukaryota; Metazoa; Chordata; Mammalia; Didelphimorphia; Didelphidae. The record is from Ensembl.